Molecule: small RNA, 30 nt
Filed under: Bombyx mori (domestic silkworm)
Lineage: Eukaryota; Metazoa; Arthropoda; Insecta; Lepidoptera; Bombycidae
Description: ovarian small RNA-34078
Source: RNAcentral
UGCUACAUCAAGGGGUCCCGUCGGAGCCCC